AUGUUCGUUUAGCAGCGCAAGUAAUACAACUGAAAAAAAUGAGAAAAGAUUAGCAUGGUACUUUAGAAAGAUGACAUGCAACUUCAUGAAGAGUUUUGUUAUUUG
This is a small nuclear RNA of Ursus americanus (American black bear), 105 nucleotides long. The record is from Ensembl. NCBI's taxonomy places the organism in Eukaryota, Metazoa, Chordata, Mammalia, Carnivora, Ursidae.